UACGAAGGGGGCUAGCGUUGUUCGGAUUUACUGGGCGUAAAGCGCACGUAGGCGGAUUGUUAAGUCAGGGGUGAAAUCCUGGAGCUCAACUCCAGAACUGCCUUUGAUACUGGCAAUCUAGAGUCCGGAAGAGGUGAGUGGAACUCCGAGUGUAGAGGUGAAAUUCGUAGAUAUUCGGAAGAACACCAGUGGCGAAGGCGGCUCACUGGCCCGGUACUGACGCUGAGGUGCGAAAGCGUGGGGAGCAAACAGG
This 253-nucleotide ribosomal RNA is filed under the name uncultured bacterium. RNAcentral describes it as "partial 16S ribosomal RNA". It matches the Rfam family "Bacterial small subunit ribosomal RNA", at positions 524 to 776 of the family's 1533-position model. The record is from RNAcentral.